CCUGGAACGGGACGCCAUAGAGGGUGAGAGCCCCGUCUGGUCGGACACCAAGCCAGUGUAAAGCUCCUUUCGACGAGUCGAGUAGUUUGGGAAUGCUGCUCUAAAUGGGAGGUAUAUGUCUUCUAAAGCUAAAUACCGGCCAGAGACCGAUAGCGCACAAGUAGAGUGAUCGAAAGAUGAAAAGCACUUUGAAAAGAGGNUUAAACAGUACGUGAAAUUGUUGAAAGGNAAGCGUUUAUGACCAGACUUGGNCCCGGUGAAUCAUCCAGCGUUCUCGCUGUGCACUUUGCCGGNNUCAGGCCAGCAUCAGUUCGCCGCGGG
This 321-nucleotide ribosomal RNA is filed under the name soil fungal sp. DM063. RNAcentral describes it as "eukaryotic LSU rRNA". It matches the Rfam family "Eukaryotic large subunit ribosomal RNA", at positions 189 to 516 of the family's 3401-position model. The record is from RNAcentral. Lineage: Eukaryota; Fungi.